UUCUCUUGGAUCUCUCUUUUGAAUUUUUCUAGGUCUCAAGAUUUUAUGUGAUUUUCUGCAUGAAAAAUUAGAUUAGAUCUGAUUUUCAUCAUGAAAAAUAAAAAAAAAAGUUCUUCUUAAGGGCAUGAAAGGAAGAGAGAAAGGUUCUCUCUUUUGCAUGGAAAAUUGAGAAGAAAGAUUUUUUCUCUUGAUCUCUAUUGUAGAGAUUAGAUGCAUGGAUUCAGAAAGAAAGGGAGAGGGUCUCCUUAUUCUUCAUUUCCAUCAUAUUCCUCUCAAAUCAGCCAAUGGAUGAUGUCUUCAUGAGCUAGCACUCUCGGAG
Molecule: long non-coding RNA, 319 nt
Filed under: Elaeis guineensis (African oil palm)
Lineage: Eukaryota; Viridiplantae; Streptophyta; Magnoliopsida; Arecales; Arecaceae
Description: long non-coding RNA (EGUI_LNC044879)
Source: RNAcentral